Long non-coding RNA from Rosa chinensis, 947 nucleotides. RefSeq lists it as uncharacterized. The record is from RefSeq and is a predicted model, not a curated record. The transcript has 2 exons. Lineage: Eukaryota; Viridiplantae; Streptophyta; Magnoliopsida; Rosales; Rosaceae.
UAUUAACUUAUAUUAUUAAUUAUGGGUGUGUGCAUAUGUAUAAUUAUUUUAUGGUGUGAUAUAUAUAAAUAUACACACACACACAUCACCAAGACGUGUUGUUUAGAUAUAAGUAUAUAUGCUAUUUCUAUAUUUUUAGACCAGCCCAUUAUUUGUUUUAUUUAUUUAUUUAUUUUUUAAAACCCAAGUCAAUUUUAAAAGCCCAAGACCAAUUGAUUUAUACAUCUGUUAGAUGUCGUUUAACGACAAACCAAUCUCAAAACCCUCGUCUGCUACCUUCAUCGUCUUCCUCCCCUAUUUUUCUCUUUGCAAGCACCACUCCACCUAAACCAAAGGAUCAGUACCACUAUGAUAGACUACCCGGAUAAGAAUAAUCUUAGAAGCUGGAGGUGUCGAUGUUGCUGAAGAGCCUUGGAGAGUCAGUUACCAGAGUUGUGAGUCAUCAAAGCUAGAAGCAUGUGGUGGAGACCUAGAACCAGGAGGUGGCAGUCCUUAUCAAAACAUAGAGGAAGCCGAUAGUGUUGGCAUCCAAAGCUACUCUCUGUUGUGCUUAUCUAGAAUUAAAAUCUGACCUCUUUGCCAUACACUAUAAAUAUCCAGGUCUGUUCUAUUUUCUUUAUUGCGUUCCCCUAUAUUUGUUUACAAAAGAAGGAGUGAGGGAAGGAGAAAUUUUGAGACUAAGGAGGAACCUGAGAAGUAUAAACUAAUUUCCAAAACAAGGUACUGAACAUGAAGUUUAAUUUUCCCUUUUGAAGAGCUUGUGAUUAAUAUGAAGGAAGUGUGAGACUUGUUUUGUUUAGUUUCCUAGAAUAAGAGCAAAGGCUGCCAGUUUGUAGUUUGCCUUUGAAGUAUAGGUUUGAAAUUUCUGUGGGAAUAAUGAACUAUCAAGAAAGUUUGUACUAUAAUUGUGUUUGUUGUAUUAUAAAGUUCUUCUUUUUUUUCCAUAA